GCCAGACUCCUACGGGAGGCAGCAGUGGGGGAUAUUGCACAAUGGGGGGAACCCUGAUGCAGCGACGCCGCGUGGGUGAAGGAGCGUUUCGGCGCGUAAAGCCCUCUCAGCAGGGAAGAAGAUGGCGGUACCUGACCAAGAAGCUCCGGCUAAAUACGUGCCAGCAGCCGCGGUAAUACGUAUGGAGCAAGCGUUAUCCGGAUUUACUGGGUGUAAAGGGAGCGCAGGCGGCCUUGCAAGUCUGAUGUGAAAGGCCGGGGCCCAACCCCGGGACUGCAUUGGAAACUGCGAGGCUGGAGUGUCGGAGAGGCAGGCGGAAUUCCUAGUGUAGCGGUGAAAUGCGUAGAUAUCAGGAGGAACACCGGUGGCGAAGGCGGCCUGCUGGACUGCAACUGACGUUGAGGCCCGAAAGCGUGGGGAGCAAACAGGAUUAGAUACCCUCGUAA
Molecule: ribosomal RNA, 446 nt
Filed under: uncultured bacterium
Lineage: Bacteria
Description: partial 16S ribosomal RNA
Rfam family: Bacterial small subunit ribosomal RNA
Source: RNAcentral